This 465-nucleotide ribosomal RNA is filed under the name Vreelandella stevensii. RNAcentral describes it as "partial 16S ribosomal RNA". It matches the Rfam family "Bacterial small subunit ribosomal RNA", at positions 338 to 795 of the family's 1533-position model. The record is from RNAcentral. Lineage: Bacteria; Pseudomonadati; Pseudomonadota; Gammaproteobacteria; Oceanospirillales; Halomonadaceae.
CCUACGGGCGGCAGCAGUGGGGAAUAUUGGACAAUGGGGGGAACCCUGAUCCAGCCAUGCCGCGUGUGUGAAGAAGGCCCUCGGGUUGUAAAGCACUUCCAGUGAGGAAGAACGCCUGGUGGUUAAUACCCAUCAGGAAAGACAUCACUCACAGAAGAAGCACCGGCUAACUCCGUGCCAGCAGCCGCGGUAAUACGGAGGGUGCGAGCGUUAAUCGGAAUUACUGGGCGUAAAGCGCGCGUAGGUGGCUUGAUAAGCCGGUUGUGAAAGCCCCGGGCUCAACCUGGGAACGGCAUCCGGAACUGUCAAGCUAGAGUGCAGGAGAGGAAGGUAGAAUUCCCGGUGUAGCGGUGAAAUGCGUAGAGAUCGGGAGGAAUACCAGUGGCGAAGGCGGCCUUCUGGACUGACACUGACACUGAGGUGCGAAAGCGUGGGUAGCAAACAGGAUUAGAUACCCUAGUAGUC